CCUACGGGGUGCAGCAGUAGGGAAUCUUCCACAAUGGACGAAAGUCUGAUGGAGCAACGCCGCGUGAGUGAAGAAGGGUUUCGGCUCGUAAAGCUCUGUUGGUAGUGAAGAAAGAUAGAGGUAGUAACUGGCCUUCAUUUGACGGUAAUUUCUUAGAAAGCCACGGCUAACUACGUGCCAGCAGCCGCGGUAAUACGUAGGUGGCAAGCGUUGUCCGGAUUUAUUGGGCGUAAAGAGAGUGCAGGCGGUUUAAUAAGUCUGAUGUGAAAGCCUACGGCUUAACCGUAGAAUUGCAUCAGAAACUGUUGAACUUGAGUGCGGAAGAGGAGAGUGGAACUCUGUGUGUAGCGGUGGAAUGCGUAGAUAUAUAGAGGAACACCAGUGGCGAAGGCGACUCUCUAGUCUGCAACUGACGCUGAGGCUCGAAAGCAUGGGUAGCGAACAGGAUUAGAUACCCCAGUAGUC
This 465-nucleotide ribosomal RNA is filed under the name uncultured bacterium. RNAcentral describes it as "partial 16S ribosomal RNA". It matches the Rfam family "Bacterial small subunit ribosomal RNA", at positions 338 to 795 of the family's 1533-position model. The record is from RNAcentral.